GAGAAGCGGGCAGGCACACACGUACGCUAUGAAGCCGGAGCAAGAGCUUCUCCUGCCGUUUGAACUGCGGCUUCUGCUGUUGGCAGGAAAGAUGAUGAGAUUUCUUGGAAUUUAAGAUUGAGAUAUUUGACGUCCCACAUUU
Molecule: non-coding RNA, 142 nt
Organism: Caenorhabditis elegans
Lineage: Eukaryota; Metazoa; Nematoda; Chromadorea; Rhabditida; Rhabditidae
Source: Ensembl